GCCGCCGGGCUGUCCACCCGACCGCGGGCCCCGGCGAGCGGACCCCGCGCUCGCGGCCAGUUUGCCUCCCCCAAAAUGAGAAGGUUGGGGAGGCACUUCAAGGGCCGGAAGCCUGAAUCUGCCUGUGCCCCUGGCGGUAGGACGAGCACCUGGCCGGCGGGCCUGUCACCGGGGCUACUUCCGGAGCUACUCUCCCCGAGAUGGCAGAAACUAGCACCGGGUCCCACCGCGCUCACCUCACAGGCUCCCUCUUGGCGCCCAAAACCAAGCAGAAGCCACAAUCUAUAGAGAUGCAGUAACCUGUGACAUGAGAGAGGUGAACUUCCGUGAAGAAUUUUGCAUCUAACGGAUGGCAUGGAUCUGAGAACUGUCCUACCAAAGGGUCAUCACAGUUCGCUCUGAGGCUUUGACACGUCCUCUGUCUCUCGAGGCCGCGGGAAUUGCUAACAUCCAGUCCGGCUUCCAAACACUGAACUUCCAGGAUGAACUUGGUCUUGUUUGUGAACCGAGGGUGGCAAAUUAACACAACAUAAUGUUAUUCAGCAGAGUUGCAGGAGUUAAAACAAGCAGAACUGGCAAAGAUUCAGAUGAAGAAGCGUUCCUGUGUCGCUGGUAGGUGUGUGAGUUGCUCUGGCUUGUUUUGGCAAGCAGUCUGGCAAUGCUCAUGCCUUGAUUAACUCAUCUGUCCCCAGCAGUGAAGAAGCAAGGCUCCAAAGGAGGCAGAGGCAGAAAGCCAUUUUCUCUCCCCUCCUUUACGGUUUCUUCCUUGUCCCCAGCUAAAGUC
Long non-coding RNA from Eubalaena glacialis (North Atlantic right whale), 784 nucleotides. RefSeq lists it as uncharacterized. The record is from RefSeq and is a predicted model, not a curated record. The transcript has 3 exons. Lineage: Eukaryota; Metazoa; Chordata; Mammalia; Artiodactyla; Balaenidae.